GAGCAAACAGGAUUAGAUACCUGGUAGUCCACGCUGUAAACGAUGUCGAUUUGGAGUUUGGGGGCAUGACCCUUGGGCUCCGGAGCUAACGCGUUAAAUCGACCGCUGGGGAGUACGGCCGCAAGGUUAAAACUCAAAUGAAUUGACGGGGGCCCGCACAAGCGGUGGAGCAUGUGGUUUAAUUCGAUGCAACGCGAAGAACCUUACCUGGUCUUGACAUCCAUAGAAUCUUUCAGAGAUGAGAGAGUGCCUUCGGGAGCUAUGAGACAGGUGCUGCAUGGCUGUCGUCAGCUCGUGUUGUGAAAUGUUGGGUUAAGUCCCGCAACGAGCGCAACCCCUAUCCUUUGUUGCCAGCACGUAAUGGUGGGAACUCAAAGGAGACUGCCGUUGAUAAAGCGGAGGAAGGUGGGGACGACGUCAAGUCAUCAUGGCCCUUACGACCAGGGCUACACACGUGCUACAAUGGCGUAUACAAAGGGAUGCGAAGGUGCGAACUGGAGCGGACCUCACAAAGUACGUCUAAGUCCGGAUUGGAGUCUGCAACUCGACUCCAUGAAGUCGGAAUCGCUAGUAAUCGUGAAUCAGAAUGUCACGGUGAAUACGUUCCCGGGCCUUGUACACACCGCCCGCCACACCAUGGGAGUGGGUUGCACCAGAAGUAGAUAGCUUAACCUUCGGGAGGGCGUUUACCACGGUGUGGUUCAUGACUGGGGUGAAGUCGUAACAAGGUAACCA
This 735-nucleotide ribosomal RNA is filed under the name uncultured Enterobacteriaceae bacterium. RNAcentral describes it as "bacterial SSU rRNA". It matches the Rfam family "Bacterial small subunit ribosomal RNA", at positions 766 to 1502 of the family's 1533-position model. Lineage: Bacteria; Pseudomonadati; Pseudomonadota; Gammaproteobacteria; Enterobacterales; Enterobacteriaceae. The record is from RNAcentral.